This 795-nucleotide ribosomal RNA is filed under the name uncultured bacterium. RNAcentral describes it as "bacterial SSU rRNA". It matches the Rfam family "Bacterial small subunit ribosomal RNA", at positions 10 to 794 of the family's 1533-position model. The record is from RNAcentral.
AGUUUGAUCAUGGCUCAGAUUGAACGCUGGCGGCAGGCCUAACACAUGCAAGUCGAGCGGUAGCACAAGAGAGCUUGCUCUCUGGGUGACGAGCGGCGGACGGGUGAGUAAUGUCUGGGGAACUGCCUGAUGGAGGGGGAUAACUACUGGAAACGGUAGCUAAUACCGCAUAACGUCUUCGGACCAAAGUGGGGGACCUUCGGGCCUCACGCCAUCAGAUGUGCCCAGAUGGGAUUAGCUAGUAGGUGGGGUAAUGGCUCACCUAGGCGACGAUCCCUAGCUGGUCUGAGAGGAUGACCAGCCACACUGGAACUGAGACACGGUCCAGACUCCUACGGGAGGCAGCAGUGGGGAAUAUUGCACAAUGGGCGCAAGCCUGAUGCAGCCAUGCCGCGUGUGUGAAGAAGGCCUUCGGGUUGUAAAGCACUUUCAGCGAGGAGGAAGGGUAGUGUGUUAAUAGCACAUUGCAUUGACGUUACUCGCAGAAGAAGCACCGGCUAACUCCGUGCCAGCAGCCGCGGUAAUACGGAGGGUGCAAGCGUUAAUCGGAAUUACUGGGCGUAAAGCGCACGCAGGCGGUUUGUUAAGUCAGAUGUGAAAUCCCCGCGCUUAACGUGGGAACUGCAUUUGAAACUGGCAAGCUAGAGUCUUGUAGAGGGGGGUAGAAUUCCAGGUGUAGCGGUGAAAUGCGUAGAGAUCUGGAGGAAUACCGGUGGCGAAGGCGGCCCCCUGGACAAAGACUGACGCUCAGGUGCGAAAGCGUGGGGAGCAAACAGGAUUAGAUACCCCGGUAGU